CCUACGGGUGGCAGCAGUGAGGAAUAUUGGUCAAUGGACGCAAGUCUGAACCAGCCAUGCAGCGUGCAGGAUGACUGCUCUAUGAGUUGUAAACUGCUUUUAUACAAGGGUAAAGUGCGAUACGUGUGUCGGGUUGAAUGUAAUGUAUGAAUAAGGAUCGGCUAACUCCGUGCCAGCAGCCGCGGUAAUACGGAGGAUCCGAGCGUUAUCCGGAUUUAUUGGGUGUAAAGGGUGCGUAGGCGGUUUGAUAAGUUAGAUGUGAAAGUUCGCGGCUCAACCCCGAAACUGCAUCUAAAACUGGUGGCCUUGAGAAUAGUUGAGGUAGGCGGAAUGCAUGGUGUAGCGGUGAAAUGCUUAGAGAUCAUACAGAACACCGAUUGCGAAGGCAGCUUACCAAACUAUAUCUGACGUUGAUGCACGAAAGCGUGGGUAUCAAACAGGAUUAGAUACCCGGGUAGUC
This 460-nucleotide ribosomal RNA is filed under the name uncultured bacterium. RNAcentral's name for it is "partial 16S ribosomal RNA". It matches the Rfam family "Bacterial small subunit ribosomal RNA", at positions 338 to 795 of the family's 1533-position model. The record is from RNAcentral.